This 787-nucleotide non-coding RNA is filed under the name Omosita colon. Lineage: Eukaryota; Metazoa; Arthropoda; Insecta; Coleoptera; Nitidulidae. The record is from RNAcentral.
AUAAAGUUUUAUUCUAGCUUAAGUAUUAAAUUAAUUUUUUUAUUUAUAUGAAAAUUUUAGUGUGGGGUUAUUAUAAUUUAAAUAAUUAUAAUAAUAACUUAUUUAAUCUCAGUAAAUAAUUUUAAAUAUUAAAGUAAUUUAGAUUUAGAUAUAAAUUUUAAUAUUAACUAAAUUUGUGCCAGCAGUUGCGGUUAUACAAAUAAUGUAAUUUAAUAGAAUAAGUAAUAAUUAAUUUAAAUAUAAAAUAAUUUUAAUUUUAAAUUUAUUAGGUGAAAUUUUAAAUUUAAUAUAUAAUUUAAAUAAUAAUUAAUGAGGUUAAGAAAUUUAUGAAAUAAACUAGGAUUAGAUACCCUAUUAUUGUAAAUGUUAAUGUUUUACUAAGUUAUUAAUAGUUAUGUUCUUUAAAAUUAAAGAUUUUGGCGGUAUUUUAGUCUAUUCAGAGGAACUUGUUCUAUAAUUGAUAAUCCACGAUUAUAUUUACCAAAGUUUUUAAUUUGUAUAUCGUCGUAGUUUGAAUAUUUUAUUAGAAAUUAAAUGUUCAAAAUUUUUUAUAAGAAAAAAAAUCAGAUCAAGGUGCAGUUUAUAUUUUGGUAGAAAUGAGUUACAAUAAAAUUAUUUUUGGAUAAUUAAAUUAAUAUUUAAUUUGAAAUUGGAUUUGAUAGUAAUUUUAUUUAUAUAAUUAAAAUGAUUUUAGCUCUAAAAUAUGCACAUAUCGCCCGUCGCUUUCAUUAUAAAGUGAAAUAAGUCGUAACAAAGUAGUCUUACUGGAAAGUGAGGCUAGAAAGCA